CCUACGGGCGACAGCAGUGGGGAAUAUUGGGCAAUGGGCGCAAGCCUGACCCAGCAACGCCGCGUGAAGGAAGAAGGCUUUCGGGUUGUAAACUUCUUUUCUCAGGGACGAAGCAAGUGACGGUACCGGAGGAAUAAGCCACGGCUAACUACGUGCAAGCAGCCGCGGUAAUACGUAGGUGGCAAGCGUUAUCCGGAUUUACUGGGUGUAAAGGGCGUGUAGGCGGGGACGCAAGUCAGAUGUGAAAACAACGGGCUCAACCUGUGGCCUGCAUUUGAAACUGUGUUUCUUGAGUACUGGGGAGGCAGACGGAAUGCCUAGUGUAGCGGUGAAAUGCGUAGAUAUUAGGAGGAACACCAGUGGCGAAGGCGGUCUACUGGACAGCAACUGACGCUGAGGCGCGAAAGCGUGGGGAGCAAACAGGAUUAGAUACCCCAGUAGUC
RNAcentral lists this ribosomal RNA (443 nucleotides) under uncultured bacterium. RNAcentral's name for it is "partial 16S ribosomal RNA". It matches the Rfam family "Bacterial small subunit ribosomal RNA", at positions 338 to 795 of the family's 1533-position model. The record is from RNAcentral.